This 251-nucleotide ribosomal RNA is filed under the name uncultured bacterium. RNAcentral's name for it is "partial 16S ribosomal RNA". It matches the Rfam family "Bacterial small subunit ribosomal RNA", at positions 526 to 776 of the family's 1533-position model. The record is from RNAcentral.
CGUAGGGUGCAAGCGUUAAUCGGAAUUACUGGGCGUAAAGCGUGCGCAGGCGGUUGAGGAAGACCGAUGUGAAAUCCCCGGGCUUAACCUGGGAAUGGCAUUGGUGACUGCACGGCUAGAGUGUGUCAGAGGGGGGUAGAAUUCCACGUGCAGCAGUGAAAUGCGUAGAGAUGUGGAGGAAUACCGAUGGCGAAGGCAAUCCCCUGGGCCUGCACUGACGCUCAUGCACGAAAGCGUGGGGAGCAAACAGG